This 406-nucleotide ribosomal RNA is filed under the name uncultured bacterium. RNAcentral's name for it is "partial 16S ribosomal RNA". It matches the Rfam family "Bacterial small subunit ribosomal RNA", at positions 29 to 527 of the family's 1533-position model. The record is from RNAcentral.
AGCGAACGCUGGCGGCAGGCUUAACACAUGCAAGUCGAGGGGAGUGGCAGACGGGUGAGUAACGCGUGGGAACGUACCUUUUGGAUCGGAACAACACAGGGAAACUUGUGCUCAUACCGGAUACCGAAAGAGCGGCCCGCGUCUUAUUUGCUAGUUGGUGAGGUAAUGGCUCACCAAGGCUACGAACAGUAGCUGUCUGAGAGGAUGAUCAGCCACAUUGGGACUGAUAUACGGCCCAAACUCCUACGGGAGGCAGCAGUGGGGAAUAGUGGACAAUGGGGGAAACCCGGAUCCAGCCAUGCCGCGUGAGUGAUGAAGGCCCUAGGGUUGUAAAGCUCUUUUGUGCGGGAAGCGGGAAAGAAAGAAUAAGCCCCGGCUAACUUCGUGCCAGCAGCCGCGGUAAUUG